This 333-nucleotide long non-coding RNA is filed under the name Setaria viridis. RNAcentral's name for it is "long non-coding RNA (SVIR_LNC002572)". The record is from RNAcentral. Lineage: Eukaryota; Viridiplantae; Streptophyta; Magnoliopsida; Poales; Poaceae.
ACGCCAGAUCGAUUCCUUGUUCGCCCCCAAUCCAUUCCCCACCAAAAGCCGUCAAGCCGGAGGCGGAGGAGGAAGGAGAUCGAGCGGAGGCGACGCAGCCGGAGAUGAAGACUUUCGACCCGUGGCCGGUGUUCUUCCGCCGGGAGUGGCGCCGCAACUGGCCCUUCCUCACCGGCUUCGCCAUCACCGGUUUCCUCAUCACCAAGAUGACGGCCAACUUCACCGAGGAGGACCUCAAGAACUCCAAGUUCGUCCAGGAGCACAAGAAGCACUGAUGGGACCAGGUGAGACGCCCCCGCCUCCCUCGUCGGCGAGAUCCGUGCAUCUAUGUAU